This 171-nucleotide ribosomal RNA is filed under the name Theileria parva. Its description in RNAcentral is "5.8S ribosomal RNA". It matches the Rfam family "5.8S ribosomal RNA". From Rfam's summary of the family: 5.8S ribosomal RNA (5.8S rRNA) is a component of the large subunit of the eukaryotic ribosome. Lineage: Eukaryota; Apicomplexa; Aconoidasida; Piroplasmida; Theileriidae. The record is from RNAcentral.
UUUAAACUUUCAGCGGUGGAUGUCUUGGCUCACACAACGAUGAAGGACGCAGCGAAGUGCGAUAAGCAUUGUGACUUGCAGACUUCUGCGAAUCAACAGAUUUCUGAACGUAUUAGACACACCACCUCUGCUUGCACGUGGUACUCCCAUUUCAGUGAACCUCAAAUUCCU